Long non-coding RNA from Scylla paramamosain (green mud crab), 3652 nucleotides. RefSeq lists it as uncharacterized. The record is from RefSeq and is a predicted model, not a curated record. The transcript is spliced from 2 exons. NCBI's taxonomy places the organism in Eukaryota, Metazoa, Arthropoda, Malacostraca, Decapoda, Portunidae.
UUAGUCAUAACCCGUUAGAGAGAGAAAUCAUCAUCAUCAGCAGCAGCAAAAUCAUCAGUUGCGCCUGACAGGUAGCUAGUUGUACAUGCCCACUCCUCAUGGUAGAUUGCUGUCCUCCGCCUCACUUGUGCCUUCCUUUCCUGAGGAAGACCGACCAGCUGCCCCGCCUGUGAUACCUCCACAGGAGUACCCCAGAGCUCAUAAGGAUUAAUAGAUCUUCGCAGCCCCAACAACAACAAGAACAUUUGUACCUGUCUGGCGAGUGUCAGGCAACCGGCCUCACUUUCCUGCCUUGUGUUCUACUGUCAAAGGGAUGUAGUAUUUGGUACCAGUCAUAUGACAAGAAGAGGCUUGCUCAAGUGUUCAGUAUCUUUGCUAUACAUUAGCAGUUUUGGCAAGACUGGACCUCCAAUCACCCACUUCAGGAAACCAUGACAGCUAAGCACCUUUUGACUAGCUAAGCACUUUUUAUUUCUUUUCUUAGUGAUGUAGAAUGAUGUAUAAAGAGCAUAAAACCCAUAUUUGUAAAAUAAAACAUUAAGGGUAAGAAGCAAAGGUAAAUAAAGAAUGUUCUCUUGAGAAUCAGGCCUCAUUAAUGGUGAAUUUUUCCAUGCACUCCUCGUCAUUGUCCUUUAGCAGCUAAAGACAUCCAAAGCCUGACUUUUCUAAGAGGUAGUGGUUGUGGUGAAUCAGAGAGAGGGGAUAAUAGUGGCUAUAGUGAGAUGUUGGAGCUCUGGAAGAAGAGAUGGACAUGUAGGAAAAGUUCAUACUUUUUGGUUUAGUAAGAGAGGUGAUUAAAAUAACCUUUUAGUUUUUUAUUUAGAUUUUGUUUAAUGUCACUUUUCAACAGUUUGCAGGAGGCAAUAAAUAGCUAAGUAUUCCUGAUCAGCAAUACAGGUUGUAAUACAGAACAGUCACUAGCACUAAUUUAAGUUUUUGGUAGUUUUGAAAUAUAUUUACACAAUCAGUAGAGAGAGUUAAAGCAGUCUACUUGCUUAACUACAUUUUGAAAUCCUAUAGCCAUUAGCAAAUUAAAAUCCUCUUAUGUUACUUCCACUCAUGUAUUGCAAAUGUUGAUGGACUGUGAGCAUUGCUGUGUGGGGAGAUGGAGAGAGCAGGAGAGGAUCAUCUCUCAGCACACCCACUUUCUUGUUCUCCACCACCCUGCAUCAGCUGCACACAGACUGGGAGCAUUGCUGUGUGGGAAGAUGGAGAGAGCAAGAGGGUCACCUUUCAGCACACCCACUUUCCUGUUCUCCACCACUCUGCAUCAGCUGCAUAUUAUGUUGAGGUGCCUGUCUUCCUUCGUAGCAGAACUGUGGCAUUGUAUCCAUUUACUUUCUCACAUGAGGUAAGACAACCUGAUUUUGUGUCCAGCGAAUGCAGGACAGUUGUACAAAGCAAGGCAGGUGUGCUGAACUACCACCAACUUGUGCCUUUGGAGAAAAGGCACGAGUAGGAAAGAACAAAAUUAAGUUUAAAUUGAGAAAAUGACUAUCAAACAUUAUGAAAAAUACUCAGUUAUUAGUCUUCUUAAAAUUAACUUGCACUCCUUCAUUGAAACAAAUUCCUACUAUUGUAGAUAGUAGAAGUUCAUAGUUAAGUAUACAUUGUUUUCAAAAGCUUGGGAUUGGAAUUUAAAACUUAACUCACACAUAUAAUGUCCCUUGGCUCUUAUACAUAGGCUUACUAAUUAUAAAACAGGGAUGUAGUAUUUGCUGUCCACCACCUCACCAAGAGAGCCAUUCCAAAGUCCUCAUCUUCUUGGCCAUGCAAUUGGAAGCCUGAGUCUGGUCUUACAGAAACCACCAAGUGUGCAGCCAUGGUGGUGAAGACUGCAAAACAGCCCUCCUAAUGAGAAAACACAAAUACUGCAUCUCUGGACUUUGUUUUGAUUUGUAAGCCUAGGAAUUUUAUGUUCAUUCAGUUCCACUUCACUUCCAUCACUUAGCAUUGCCAGCACAAGACCAAAACAAAUCCCAUCAAUUGCUCUGUCACCCUCCCACUCAAACCCCAUCAAUUGCUCUGUCACCCUCCCACUCACUCAUACUGGCUGGGAUGAGUGUCUGAUAUGAGUUGAAUCAGGCAAGGCAGUUCACAGCAGGCAAUUCACACACUGGCAAUGGUACUUGAUGAAGGUGAAAGUGGAGAGGACUGUAUUUUGUAAGCUUUCAUAUAAGAGCCAGGGAAAUUGUAAGAGUAUCAAAUUUUAGAUUCUAAUCCCAAGCCCUUGACAACACUGUACAUUCCAAGUUAGUGGUAGUUCCCAUUCAUCACAGACACCUUGUUUUGUACUGCUGCCCACCACAGGCUGGACAUGAAAUCCAGGGCAGCUUGAUUAGCAUCCACACUUCCUCUGUUUUAUGAGGGGAGAGAGACAGACAGCUGCUGCAGGAUGGCCAGAGGAGAGAGUGCACCAAAAGAAGAUCCAGGACAUAGCUGUCUUCACACCUACACACUUCCCUCCCCAUACCACAGCAACCACUAUCAAGAUGACCUGUUUCUCUCUUCUCGUCCAUGCUUCUUUUCAGCUUUACUCUGUCUUCUGCAAUUCCUCUUCUGUUGUGUUCACUUUUCCUCUUGUGGUCUCUCCUCUUGCAAUUCUCUCCUUUUCCCUAUCUGCCAUCAACCUCCACCACAUAUGUUCUCUUCCACCAAUUCUAAAAGUGGUGAAGUAAUUAAUAGAUACCAAGUUGCACAAGGCAAAAUUAUCAACCAAUUUUCUUCAUUCAGGAAACCUGGACAGUGAAGAAUUAAUUAUUGUGUUUCAUAAAAAUUCAUUUUAUCUAUUAAUUACUUAACAUGUUUCUGUAAGUGAUGUAACAUUCUGACAGAAGAAAAAGAUGUUGAGCUGGUGAGAAUGAGCAUACAUGCAUUGCAGGCUGUGCCAUUGCUGAUAGAGUACAUAUCAUCAAUAAGGAGGACAUAAUGUCAAUAAGUGGGAGGGAAAGCUGCUUAUUUUCUGACAGGAUACACUUGUUUUACUUUAUAUCAUGAAAAAAGUUGUAAAUGAUAUGAUAUAUAAUAUUCUUCCUAAUGAUGAACACAAGUUAUAACUGAAUACUGGAAUACCUGCCACUGAAGAGUUUCUACUUGAGUUUCAGAGAGGAGUGUUGACUCAGUCUGGAGAUGAUGCACAGUUCACAUAUUCUUGAGGCAUAACUUUUUCCCUGUGCUACACUCACAAUUGGUGCUAUGUGGCCUCUCAUCACAUCCUGAAAUAUGGGAUUGAAAUUAAGAUUCUUCCUAGACAUCUCAAUACACUGUCUACCAAAAAAAGUUAAUGAAAUAUCUAAAAUUGUGUUAAUCACAUUACUAACUAGCUUUCUCUUUCAAAGUAUUGGACAUGCACACACACACACACACACACACACACACACACACACACACACACACACACACACACACACACACACACAGCAGAAAUGUCACCUAUAAAUAUCUUAAUGAUACUUUAUACAUAAUGUGAUUAAUUAGAAGGGGGAAGAGGUUGGGGCAGAUGAAUGUUUGGGAGUAAGCACAGGCUACAUAUGCCGUCAGGGAAUAAACACCAUGUCUACAAAUAAUCCUCUUUUCAUAAAGUUCUAUGUACAGGUGAGUGUGAUAUUCAGUGUGAUGUUCAACUCCUGGAUAAUAAAUACCAUUAAUGAAA